Long non-coding RNA from Osmia bicornis bicornis, 700 nucleotides. RefSeq lists it as uncharacterized. The transcript is spliced from 3 exons. NCBI's taxonomy places the organism in Eukaryota, Metazoa, Arthropoda, Insecta, Hymenoptera, Megachilidae. The record is from RefSeq and is a predicted model, not a curated record.
GUUUAGUUCUGUGCAUGAGAGAGUGGUUCAAAGACUUUCGGUGUGACAGUAAACAAACUCAUCGAAUGAUAUCAUCAAGAGGAUAGUGUUUGGAACUUACGCAGGAGCAAUAACCUCUGAGAGUCGACUGACGCCAUGGCAGGGCAUCUGAUUUCGAUGAAGACUCCUACUGCAAACAGGGAAAAAGGGAAGAAGGUGCGAUAAUACUGGACGGUUUGACAAGGAACGGAAGAAAACGGCAAAUGAGGAAUAACCAAGACGAGCUAGAAGAUUGGUCAGAAGAUUGGUUAACCAGAAGGAAGCUACAUUUUAUUUACGCGCAAUUACAUCCUGACUAAUCGUCCGCCGUGUAGUACAUUCGGGACCCUAAUUUCUUUCUUCUCUUUUUUUUUUAUUUGCUUUUUCGUACCACUCCGACAAACCCAUAUCCGAACAGUCUCCGCAAGUCAGCCAUCGCAUACGACUUUUUUGUUGUCUUUUUAUUUUUGUUUUUUUUUCGUGAGUUUAUGGUUCGACAGAGGGAGAAACCAUUAGCUGCCCUCGGGCCUCCCAUCUCGCGUGAAGUUAAUCGAAAAGUAUCGAUCGUGGUUAAAGUGAAAAAAAAAAAAUUCUUUUAAUGGAUUUAUCGUGUCUGUGUGCCUGGAAAUUAAUAACAAACAAAUGGACGUAUAGGAUUUCAUAUGGUGCCGUUGUUGCAGCG